RNAcentral lists this ribosomal RNA (465 nucleotides) under Vreelandella stevensii. Its description in RNAcentral is "partial 16S ribosomal RNA". It matches the Rfam family "Bacterial small subunit ribosomal RNA", at positions 338 to 795 of the family's 1533-position model. Lineage: Bacteria; Pseudomonadati; Pseudomonadota; Gammaproteobacteria; Oceanospirillales; Halomonadaceae. The record is from RNAcentral.
CCUACGGGUGGCUGCAGUGGGGAAUAUUGGACAAUGGGGGGAACCCUGAUCCAGCCAUGCCGCGUGUGUGAAGAAGGCCCUCGGGUUGUAAAGCACUUUCAGUGAGGAAGAACGCCUGGUGGUUAAUACCCAUCAGGAAAGACAUCACUCACAGAAGAAGCACCGGCUAACUCCGUGCCAGCAGCCGCGGUAACACGGAGGGUGCGAGCGUUAAUCGGAAUUACUGGGCGUAAAGCGCGCGUAGGUGGCUUGAUAAGCCGGUUGUGAAAGCCCCGGGCUCAACCUGGGAACGGCAUCCGGAACUGUCAAGCUAGAGUGCAGGAGAGGAAGGUAGAAUUCCCGGUGUAGCGGUGAAAUGCGUAGAGAUCGGGAGGAAUACCAGUGGCGAAGGCGGCCUUCUGGACUGACACUGACACUGAGGUGCGAAAGCGUGGGUAGCAAACAGGAUUAGAUACCCUAGUAGUC